UAAUGAUUUAAAAUACUGCAUGACACAAAAGCUGAUUCAAUUGUAUACAUUUUUAUGAUAUUCUUUAUACAACUAUAUGACACUGUUAUACACUGCUUUAUUUUGUCGGUAACUGUGUCCUCUACCCUUAUCUCGUCGCUAUGGAGUCUAGCCCAUAGGAAGGGUAGGGAGUGUACCUAUACCUAUACCAAUCCUAUCCUUUAUCCCGAUUCCCCUACCCGCGCUUCUGCAAUUCCAUUUUCAAGAACAUCAUUCCGCUACAUUUUACCUUGUGAGAGCGUCCGUAGCUAAGUUUGUAAUUUUCUUAUUUUACUUUAAUCCGAGUAUAUUUUUCUUGAUAAUUUGUAAUUCAUACUUCAUCAGUUAAAGGAUAAGAAACUGAUUCGGUCAGUGGCCCCGGAUGGGUUUGAAUUUAGUCCACGUUCUAUUAAUUCUAUUCGUGACUAGAUCUACACUCAUCCAGGGAAACCGACACUCAAAAUCAAAUUCUUCGAAUUCGUAGAAAAUAGGCUUAAAUUUACAAGAAGUCUGCCUUUCGACGUAAAUAUGUUACCGGGAUUGAUAAAGAUUGCAUACCAUGAACUAAUACAGCUGCUAUUGCUUGAUGAAGACAUUGAGCAGUUACACAAGCAGCAUUUAAAGCACUUUGUACAGCAGACAACCAUCCACUAUUAUCAAGUCUUGAGAGCCACUGGGAUGUAGAACAUGUCACAUCGUUACAAGCUUCUAUCAAUUUAUAAAAACUAUCUGCUAAAUCAUGUGGACGUGGUACUGCUUUGUGCACUUUUUGCCAUUGAGGAUAAGCAGCAUCAAUUUCUGUACCACCUCCUUUGGCUCUAGAACUUUGAGCUUGACUAAUAGACCUUGUAUCUACUAUAUAACUAUUGAAAAAACAUAUUAGUAAUAGGUUAAUCCUGAUAAUAGUCUUUCUAUUAUCUCAAUAAAAUCACGACUCCAAUUCAUCAACAUUGAUAAAUGGAUUCUUAUUUUGAAAUCUCUAAACACGUUACUACAUGGCUUUUAAAAUUUUUGUAUUUACCCACGUCUUCCUGGACCUAAUACUGCAUUUAAAAGUCUCUCAUCUUCUUUGCAUCUUUUGCUAGUAAUACCACACAUUGGUUGGCUACUUCUUAAUAAAACACUCUGCAAUAUUGAAUAAUACUUUAUUAAAUAUAUGUUACGCAUUUGCUUUUGUUUAUUACUUUGUUAUCUUUCUUCAUAUCAUACCCCGCCAUCGUGCCUGUAACACAGAACAGGAAAUCUUCCACCCUCUCUAAAAUUAGCAGAAGCUAUUAUAAUUUUGUCUUCUACAUGACGUGGUACUAUAACUGCGGAAGGAUAAGAAUUGCAAACUUUGUAUUCUUUAUUUAAAUAACUAAUACGCCAUUCGUCUGCAUGAGCAGUUAAUAAUUUGGACCACUCCGAAACGGGGGCAAAUGCAGUCCAUUCAUCCUCUAUUUGUACAUUAAUAUUGCUGGUAGUUUUUAGUCUAUAAACGAAAGGAUAUUGCAAAGUUUGUUCUGGAAUAAAACAGAAGUAAAAGUUGAUAAUCUAUAAUAAAAUGCUAUAUUUCAUAUUAUGUAAAAGGCAAUCUUUCACCUUGAGUGGUUAAUUUUUCUAUAGACAAAGCAACGUUCAUUAAAUCAUCUGCCGAAUUAAUAUCCAGCUGCAGGAUCCGGAAAUCUUUGCAUUUUAAUAUAAUACUUCCACCUGGGCUUUGAGUAUUUAAUUUUCUCUCUACAAGAUCAAUGUUUCGAUACAACAGCUGAAAAAUAUAUUAAAAAGUUGUUGUAGAAACUUGUGAAUGUUCUUAUUUAAAGUUGACGAACCUUCAUUUGAAAUAAUCAUACUUAUAUGUAAACUUAUUUUUUUUGUAAAUCAUACCCAAAACUCUUGUCGCGGAUCUUGUAACGGCGACCAAAUUAGAUGAUGAAUACAAACAGAUAAUUGUCCAUCCAUAGAUUUAUUACUUCCAUCAGUCUUAUCUACUAGUACAACAUUAUUGAGUUUCGGCACUAAUAUGAAGUCACUAAGUCGGUCCAUUAUGUACUUCGAUCAGAUACUUCAAGUGUGAAUCGUUGGUAAUAUCAGAAAUACAAAUGUUGUGACAGUUUUGCAUAACCUCAGAUAUUUCGGUACGAGCUGAAGAAAUUAAAUGUCAAUCGCCACGUUCUUGUUUACUUCAUAUCACAUACGUUAUGCAUUACACAAACAUAACUGAUAGCGUGAAAGCACAGGCUUAUAAUCUAUACAGAUGUCUCGGGCAUCGUAACUUUUAGUCUGUGGUUCUGGAAUACCGACUCUGUUAAAAGUGUCUAAACACAGCGACAAGGUGCUGUAUAUAUUGAAUUAGACCAAUCACUGUAUGUAAAUGGUUUUAUGUCACCAUAGAUCAGAUAGAAAUUCAGUAUGUAAAUGUAGUGUCUAAAAUGCACGGUUUUUGCUUAUCCAA
This is a non-coding RNA of Megalopta genalis, 2452 nucleotides long. Lineage: Eukaryota; Metazoa; Arthropoda; Insecta; Hymenoptera; Halictidae. The record is from RefSeq and is a predicted model, not a curated record.